This 467-nucleotide ribosomal RNA is filed under the name uncultured bacterium. RNAcentral's name for it is "partial 16S ribosomal RNA". It matches the Rfam family "Bacterial small subunit ribosomal RNA", at positions 339 to 795 of the family's 1533-position model. The record is from RNAcentral.
CUACGGGCGGCAGCAGUAGGGAAUAUUGCGCAAUGGGGGAAACCCUGACGCAGCAACGCCGCGUGAGUGAAGAAGGCCCUUGGGUUGUAAAGCUCUGUCAGAAGGAAAGAAAUGCUUAUCGGAAUAAUACCCGGUAGGUUUGACGGUACCUUCAAAGGAAGUACCGGCCCAGCUCCGUGCCAGCAGCCGCGGUAAUACGGAGGGUGCAAGCGUUGUUCGGAUUUACUGGGCGUAAAGCGCGUGUAGGCGGUUCGUAAGGUCAGAUGUGAAAGCCCUCGGCUUAACCGGGGAAGUGCAUUUGAAACCGGCGGACUUGAGUACUGGAGAGGGAAGCAGAAUUCCUAGUGUAGAGGUGAAAUUCGUAGAUAUUAGGAGGAAUACCUGUGGCGGAGGCGGCUUCCUGGACAGAUACUGACGCUGAGACGCGAAAGCGUGGGGAGCAAACAGGAUUAGAUACCCGCGUAGUC